This 7528-nucleotide long non-coding RNA is filed under the name Fragaria vesca (wild strawberry). Its description in RNAcentral is "long non-coding RNA (FVES_LNC002717)". Lineage: Eukaryota; Viridiplantae; Streptophyta; Magnoliopsida; Rosales; Rosaceae. The record is from RNAcentral.
AUCAAUGAUGUCACUUGCCAGUGUAUGAGUACAUAUAUAACCACAAAAUCAUAUGGCCAACUACAAUUUCAAAAACAGCUGAUUAUACAGUUUUGUAAAUCUUGAACUUCACUCUUCACAGUCCCAUUCGCAGCUCAAUAGUAGUCAUUUGCGGCAAGAAAUCGAACAAAUGGCUGAACAGAAGGAAAUACAGGUCCCAAAGGUUAAACUAGCUAGGAACUCAAGGAUUUGAGGUUAGAUAUAAUAUUCCUCCGGCAUUUUCCUUAAUUCCUGAAUAACUUCCUUUCAGUAGCUUUGUUUCAUUGUUUAGUUUAUUUCUAAUAUCCAAUAAUGGCAUUAACUUCAUCAGGUUUCAUUUCUUAUUUGUUCUUACAAAGUGCUUUCGGCCUGAUCAAAGUAGGGACUAGGGACUCAUACCUAUUUUAAUCAAAAGAAAAUACAAAUAGGGAAAUGGAGAUAUCAGGAGACAAGGAAAAUUACACUGUUCUAGUAGGUUAAGCAAUCAGUUGGCUUGAAGGAUACCACUUCUCUAUCCAGGUCAAAACCAACCAACAUAUUUCCCUGCAUAAUAGCUCCAAAAACACCCAUAUCAGGUUCUACUGCUCCCUUAUCACCUGGACGCUUGAUUCCAAAACAUGAUAUGUUUUUUUCAUCAUUUUUUACAAACAUUUGUUCUGUAAGUAACUGCACUUUGCCACCACCCUCGAAAUGAAAACUCAUUUUUGGUUCUUCUGGAAUUUCCGUCGAGUUGAAGCAUAAAAGUGUUUGUUGUUUAGUCACAAAGAACGACUGCAUUUUUGGAUCAAGUGUCUUAUUCAGCUCAGUUAUUACCCUGUCAAAAAGAUGUUGAGGUAACGUUGUUAAAGUUGAGCCUGAGUCGAGUACCAUCUUAAUUUUGUUGAGCGAUGUCACGUUUGAGUAAAACGGAACAAAUUCAUUUCCGAUGGUCAUUCCUUCUGCCAUCACAAUAUAGUGACCCUCGUCUGGCACCAAUGGAGUUGAGACAACCCCUUCACCUGAAACUUCACUCCCAUUUCCGAAAUUGAUCUUACUUUCGAUUUUGGGAUCAGUAGCUAGAGGCACCAAGCAAUGAGAAAAUUUAUUUCCUCCAACAUAGGGAGCAAUCUGAGAAACAAAUGACAUGGGUCUACGUCCAAACCCGAUCACCCCCAUUUCCACUCUAGUACUAGAUGGCUGUUUGGUGGAAUGCCCACACCCAAAGAUAAUAUCUUUUAGGGUUACGGCAUUCCCUGUCCUAGAUGUCAAAGCAACUGUUUCUGUUGCCAAUACACCUUCGCUGGUUCCCCCGCCUCCAUAUGUAAGACCAUAAGGACACCUUCUUGUAGGAUAUUUUGUACAGAAAUCUGGGGGAAUGUUUGGUGAUUCUCUCAUGUCGUCGCCAAGUCUACACUCUUUAUCAGAACAAGUAAUGUUCCUAUAAGUUGAGGAUUUACUCGGGUCGAAAAUGGCAUAUUUGGUCUUGGAGCAAUUCUUACACGGCUUGCAUUGGGUCCAUAGUAAACUGCUGCCUGUAUCAGCAAUAUCAGCAAUUGCAUAAACAUCUGAGGGUGGGGUUCCCAAUGAGAACUUCAGAAGAUGUAUGGCGCCAUGAUCGUUUAUUAAUGGGAAUCCAGGCGUGUUUGGAUCCAACAAUCUUCGAAAGUUUUUGUUGUUUCUAUGUUCGUACAAUGGUGAAUUUGGGGCAUUUCUUCGGAUGAGAUGCGCGCUGAAACCUCCAUUAAUACUGUUGGUAUUGAUUAUUGCUGUAACAGGGAAAUGUAUGAGAUGAAAGAGAAAAUAAGUGAUGGCUGCUAUAAUGCAAUUAGUUUUGUUUAAACUUUAAAGGACAAAGGAUCGCCAUAAGGUUGAGUUUAGAGAAAGAAAAGAAGUUGAAUUAGAGGCAAAAUCACGAUUUGUAACCUAUAAAUAUAUAAAAAAAUAAUAAUUUGCAUGAAUCUUACCAUAUUGAUUUGUUGUAAUAGAAGGUUGAGAAGUUUGUGUUUGCCAUGAGUAGUGUUGGAACUAUUGUUUUUAGAAAUAACUUGGAACAUGACCCGGGCCAUCUUUUCCUAAAAGAACUCUUUACCCGUCGAUUUAUUGCAUUUUCCAAAUUGCAUGAAGGGCAUUUGCUCUGCACCAAAUUCUAUAUAAGCCCUUAUUUACUUAACUUAUGAUCCGUUUCAUCUUUGUGAUGGUUUCCACUGCCUGCUGCAGGGAGAGCAAAGCGUAGGACUUGUCCUACAAGAUCUUAGAAUCAUAGAAUCAAGAGUUCAUCACGGAGCAGAGUUCGUGCAAACUUGUAUUUUAAUCUUUUUCUUUAUGCUACUUUAUUCUUUUUUUUUUUUUUUAGGGAAAUGGAUGUUAUUCAUCGGGCAUAGCCCAUUCAUUGGCAAAAACCAAAACUACCAAUUGAGCCGAAGCCGUGCCUGGUCAAGCAGGAGAUAAACUCUGAUACAAGCUCAAAGAACCAUUAUUCGAUAAAAUGAAAUACUAAAACUAAAGUCCAAACAAGCGAACAAUCCAAACUAAACUUUAAAACUACGUCCAAAAAAAUGGACAUGAAAACUAAAAAGCAAAUAAAGAGAAUAACCUCUACUCCCAAACUACAGUAAGACAAAGCAACUGUUAUGAUAAGUAUGACGCCUAAGACCACUUGGUAUACGUUUCCACUUAACAGACCAGCAAAACAACUUCUACUUUGUCUUUUUAUAUAUGAGAACAUAACAUUAUCAUAUUGAAGUAGUUAAAACAUAUUUAUUUAUGUCAUUUUUCCCCUCUAAAUCAAGAGCAAACUCAUUCUCUCCAAAACCUAAAAGAUCAUAUAAAACCAAUCUGAGUAUAAAAUGUUUUACAAUUAUAAAAAAAAAAGAAAAAAGAAGGAAAAUACAUAAUGACGUGGCGUCCUGAGUUACGAAAUAUUUAUUUAUUUAUUUCUUUUUCCCGCCAUUAGCCUCCCUCCAUUUCCUCUCCCUCUCUUUAUUCUGAAAUCAAUUUUAGAGAGAGAAAGAGAGAAACCAUCACAGUUUUGACUUUCAGGGAUGAUUUGGACUUUUCACCUCUGAACUCUGGUCUCUGGGCAUGGAUACUCCUCUGAAGAACCAGUCCACUCCUUUGGUUUCAGUAUUCCAGGUCAAUUUUGCCAAAGUCUCAAUCUGUAUUCUAUUUUGAUAUCUGGGUUCUUCUUAAUUUUGUGAAUACUUGUAUGGGUUCAUAUGGGUUCUGUUCUUUAGACCAGUUUCAAUGGAAUUUGUUGUUUUUGGGUUUCUGUGAGGCUUGAAUUUGUGGAUUUGGGUUCGAUUUUUAGGGUUCUAGUGGAUCAUUGUUUGAAUUCAAUGUGAAUUAGUUUUGAAUCUUUUGAUGUAAUCUAGAACAAGGUAAAGGAUCUGAUUUCUGUUAAAGCAGUAAAAUUUAUAGUUUUACUAUUGUGUAUACAUCAAAAGGUUGAGACUUUACUCAAAAUUGAAUUUGUGACCUUUUGAGGGCUAAAGGUUGUGACUUUACUCAAAAUCAGUUGAAUUGUGACCUUUUGAGGGCUAUGGAAUGAGAUCUUACUGUUUUUGGAAUUGUAGGAAUCACCUGUUUCCAAUUUCAUUAGCAAUCUUUCUCCAAUUGAGCCUAUCAAGUUCAUAAGAAAUGACCACACAUUCAACUCACUGAGCUUUGCUUCUCCCCCAUCUGGGUUUACUCCGCCGCAUAUUGUUUCCCCAUGUCGAAAUAAGUUGUUACAAAAGAGGUACAGUUAUUUAUCUGUUCCUGAUUUGUUGAAUUGAAAUGAAAAGCAUGUUGGUCAUAAUAUUUACACUAGUGUUUUCGUGUCUGUUGCUGUCAGGCAUCACUUCUCCGAGGCAUGGGAGCCUGGGAUCUCUCGAAGUUGUAAUCUAAAUAGUACUUCUGAUGGAGAUUCAAUUGUUAGUGAGCAAUUGGAAUGUUCAGUAAUCGGAGACUUAGUACCAGCAGAGAGUUUAGAACUAGCAGCUGAGUUGCCAAGUACCUUGAAGUUAAGUUGUGGUAGCCCCGAGAGCAAUGUGGUACCUUUUGAUGCUACUAAGGCAGAUGGCACACCUGAAUCGGUUGUUCAAUCUUAUAUUCAUCAACCAAAAGGAGGGCAUUCUUCAUCUGAAAGGGAAGCACAUUUACUCAGAAUCUGUCGAGCCGGAUUUGACUGGGAGAUGUCAGUUUCUGAUGCUGAUGAUCUGUUGAACUUCGAUUUCGAAAUCAUUGAAGAGAAUUCUGCCGAGGAAGAUCCUAAAACAGGUGAUCCUGGGGUAAUGUCUUUUGUAUCAAACAUCCUAGUGGACAAUCACAAUGAUGUGGAGAUAAGGCAUACGGCAGAUCCUAUGGGUUCCAGUGAACAAUUUGCAUUAAAAAAGUUCAGUAAUUCUGAAACUGAAUAUUUUGUUUCUAAAACAGUAGAUGGUGGUACAGUCUCUUUUAUUUUAGACAACCUACAAGAGAAUCACAAUGGCAAGGAGUUGGUGGAAACUGUUGGUCCUAUUGAUUCUAGUGAACAAUGUGAAUCGGAAAAGUUCAGUACUUCAGAACCUAUUUGGGACCUGAUGGAAAUAGAGCAAGCACCAUCAAUUCUUUCUCGACCUUUACUGGAUUUAAAUGUCAAUCCAAGUAAUACAGUGGAUGUCAAGCGUCACAAAUGCACCCCUCCUAGCUGCAAGGUAAUACAUAGGCUUGAUCAAUAUUUGUACAGGUUGCAGAUGCUAUAUAAUUUGUGAAUAACUGUUGAAGCUGAUUUCCCUGAGUACCCCAGUAACUCUAAAAUGACCAAGUUGACCACAAUAUGCUUCGCUUCUAACAGCUUUCUAUGCACUGAACUUCUCCAUUUGUUUUAUGCAUUUCUUUCCUUCCUCCCUCACACACGUGUGCACACUCAUACAAAAACAAAGCUGAAGAAAUAGAUCAUAUAAAUCCAUAGUGAUGCAUGCAACAAUAUCAUAUAUUAUAUAAUAAUGUAACGAUUUGUUUGUUUGUUCCUUUCUAGCCUAGUUCUCAGUCACAUACGAUUCACAGACGCUGUUUGGUUUUUGACAAGGCAGAAACUCAUAAAAGAAAAUUAGUAAGUGAUUCUAGUGGCACUUGUUCAGUCUCAAUGAGGUCCAAUUGUGAAGCUCCAACUGUUGUAAAGGAGUUGAUUCAAACUACAACUGGAAUGGUGUGUGCUUUCUCAUCAGCUAGAUUACCUGGUAUUGGUUUGCACUUGAAUGCUCUUGCAACUCCAUGCGAAACUAAUUUAACAGUCAAGACUCUGGCUUCGGAAAGUCAAGUGAUGAGUAUGCCAGACUCCAAGACAUGCUAUACUACUAUCACUCCAGGUGAGGAUUCUCGUGAUGAAUCAUUAAUUUUGAACUAUUCAGAAGAUGAAUCUGUUGCAUGCAAGAAUGGAGCUCAUCUUGCAGAAAGUACUCUUCAAACAUGUAAGCAUACUUUUGAAGAAUCUGAACACAGUAGCCCAAAAAGGAAGAGGUAUGCACAGAAAAUUUUGAAUGACCUUCAAUCUCUUUACCUAAAGAUUUGAUUUUACCUUAAGUUUAAAUUAUGCAGUGUUGAGACAAAACAUGUUGGAGAAAGCAGGGCCUGCAAGCGCUGUAAUUGUAGGAGGUCAAAAUGCUUGAAACUGUGAGUCUUUUACCUAUUAGUGUCGAUACUUUUCUCCUGAUCUUGGAGUUUAUUUUACAUUAGUAGUACUAGAUAGCUAUAAAUAGACUAUCACAAUUGUCAGCUUUUGCCAUUAAUCUUGUGCACUAUGCAAAAUUUUCUUUUCUUUUCAAUUGUUCACUAAAUUUGACGACCAGCUAUGUUCCUUAACACAGUUAUUGUGAAUGCUUUGCUGCUGGUCUCUACUGUGUUGAGCCUUGUUCAUGUUUUAAUUGCUUCAACAAGAGUAUUCAUGUAGAAAUUGUUCAUGAGACUCGAAGGCUCAUUGAACUUCGCAAUCCACUUGCAUUUGCUCCUAGAGUGGUUGGAAGCGCUGAAGCUGUUUCUCAAUUUGUGGUAAAAAUAUAUCACUGAGCUACUUGUACUUUCUGACAGUGAGUCAUCUCAGCAUCAUAUUUAGGAGACACCACGGCCUUGCAACCCAAUUAUUUUUGGACCAAUCAUUCAGCAAUAAUAUUCGUAGUGAGAAUUGGGUUGCGGUGGUGUGGUGCUAAUCAGUCAUCGGAUACUAUUUCUUUGGUAAUUUCCAUUGCCUAAAUGUAGACUCCCAAUAUUCCCAUGCAGGAGGAAACCAAAUCUACUCCAACUUCAGCUAGGCACAAAAGGGGAUGCAACUGUAAAAAAUCAAGCUGCUUGAAGAAAUACUGUGUAUGCUUCCAGGUACUGACCUUCUAGUCUGCUUUCUUUAUAUGAUCUAAAAGCCGCUCUAAAAUGUUCUGACUGAGCUAUUACGACUCUUUGAUUUUUUCAUCAAGGGUGGUGCUGGGUGCUCUUUGCAAUGCAAAUGUGUAGGCUGCAAAAACACUUUUGGUCAGAAGGGCGGUCAGCGUUUAUCAGGUCUGUUCUCUGUUUCUAAUUAUUUUCUUUUCUAAUAUCCUUGCACUUCAUUAUUGCUAAAGAUCUGUUACUUACAUCACCUUGUCGAUGAGCUUCUCUGUGCAGUAUUAAUAAAACUUUUGUAGAGUAAAAAACAGCAAACUUGUCGAAAGUAAUUGUAUGAUUCUACCCAAGGCAGUGCAGCUUGCCUGUAAAUAUUCCUGUAGUUUCAAGUGAUUCUUAUUCUUUGUCCAAUAGGAGGUCUAGGAUCUGAGGACACUGAAGUUGAAGGAGAAUCAGGAGUCCAUGAGAAGAAUGACCCAAUGAUACUCUCUGAGAUCUGCAGGUUUUGAUUUCUAUCCACUGUGGCUCUUAUACUUCAUUUGAGAUAUAUAUUAUACAUAUUUGAAGCCUUUUCGUUUAAUUUUGCAGAUCACCUCCAGACCAACUCCCAACCACUGAUCUCAAUAGGACAAGUGAACAAAUUUCUCUUCAUUCUAGUCAAUCAUCAUCUCCUAGGCUUGAAAAGCAUCUUCAGGCGAUCCCAGAAGAAGAAACUUUUGAGGCAUUGGAUAGACCUAAAACGAGCCAACCUAGCUCUAUUUGUGUGAAGUCAGCCUCUCCAAACUCGAAGAGGGUAUCACCACCUCAUAGUCACAAUAGCAUUGGCAAGUUUGGGUCAUUAAAAUCUUGGAAGGGUGGUAGGAAGUUGACUCUGAGAUCAGUUCCACUACCAUUCACCAAUCUGUAAUCACCUCCAUCCACUAAGGUACGUACUUCCAUGUUCAUUACUUGGUUAGGAAUCUGAAUCAGCUAAAGCCUGAUCCCUUAUAAGGGUCUCUAAUGUUUCACUAUAACAAGCAUACUGUUACUUAAUAUCAUGGCUCAAUCUCAUAAACACAUCAAUCACUAACACAGUAAUGUUGUUUUUCUUAUUUCGAUCAUUUCUUAUUUGUUCUUACAAAGUGCUUUCGGCCUAAUCAAAGUCGGGACUAGGGACUCAUACCUAUUUUAAUCAAAAGAAAAUACAAAUAGGGAAAUGGAG